RNAcentral lists this ribosomal RNA (497 nucleotides) under uncultured bacterium. RNAcentral describes it as "partial 16S ribosomal RNA". It matches the Rfam family "Bacterial small subunit ribosomal RNA", at positions 28 to 507 of the family's 1533-position model. The record is from RNAcentral.
GAUGAACGCUGGCGGCGUGCCUAAUACAUGCAAGUCGAGCGAACAGACGAGGAGCUUGCUCCUCUGACGUUAGCGGCGGACGGGUGAGUAACACGUGGAUAACCUACCUAUAAGACUGGGAUAACUUCGGGAAACCGGAGCUAAUACCGGAUAAUAUAUUAAACCGCAUGGUUCAAUAGUGAAAGACGGUUUUGCUGUCACUUAUAGAUGGAUCCGCGCCGCAUUAGCUAGUUGGUAAGGUAACGGCUUACCAAGGCGACGAUGCGUAGCCGACCUGAGAGGGUGAUCAGCCACACUGGAACUGAGACACGGUCCAGACUCCUACGGGAGGCAGCAGUAGGGAAUCUUCCGCAAUGGGCGAAAGCCUGACGGAGCAACGCCGCGUGAGUGAUGAAGGUCUUCGGAUCGUAAAACUCUGUUAUUAGGGAAGAACAAAUGUGUAAGUAACUAUGCACGUCUUGACGGUACCUAAUCAGAAAGCCACGGCUAACUACGUG